AAUAGAUACCCAGGUAGUCCACGCCCUAAACGAUGCUCACUAGGUGUUGGGGAAGCGAUUCCUUGGUACCGUAGCUAACGCGUGAAGUGAGCCGCCUGGGGAGUACGGCCGCAAGGUUAAAACUCAAAGGAAUUGACGGGGACCCGCACAAGCGGUGGAUGAUGUGGAUUAAUUCGAUGCAACGCGAACAACCUUACCUACCCUUGACAUGUCCGGAAGCCUGCUGAAAGGUGGGGUGCUCGAAAGAGAACCGGAACACAGGUGCUGCAUGGCUGUCGUCAGCUCGUGUCGUGAGAUGUUGGGUUAAGUCCCGCAACGAGCGCAACCCUUGUCCCUAGUUGCUACGCAAGGGCACUCUAGGGAGACUGCCGGUGACAAACCGGAGGAAGGUGGGGAUGACGUCAAGUCCUCAUGGCCCCUAUGGGUAGGGCUUCACACGUCAUACAAUGGACGGUACAGAGGGUUGCCAACCCGCGAGGGGGAGCCGAAUCCCAGAAAGCCGUUCGUAGUCCGGAUCGCAGUCUGCAACUCGACUGCGUGAAGUCGG
This 547-nucleotide ribosomal RNA is filed under the name uncultured bacterium. RNAcentral's name for it is "bacterial SSU rRNA". It matches the Rfam family "Bacterial small subunit ribosomal RNA", at positions 777 to 1329 of the family's 1533-position model. The record is from RNAcentral.